UUGGAAGUAGUUGGGUUCUUGGGCCAAAAGGAAUACAGUGACCAUUUCUACCUCCUCCAUUAGAGGCUUCACUCUUGACGCAUGUUCGUGCCACUUAAUUGCAUAUUCUAGAAAACUUUCUGAGGGCUUUUCUUUAGAUUCACCAAAGAAUUACUAUCCGGUGCAAUGUCUAUGUUGUACUCAAACUGUCGAACAGAGUCUCUGAAAAGAUCAUCCCUGAUAUGCCAACGUGAGACGUCUUGAUCCAUAUUCUCUGAAGCAAUGCUGAUUAAGCUCUCUCCGACGUAAGCCAUUUAUAACUCUUCUUUUCUGCCGGCCCUACGCUGCUGAUUAUAAUACUUCUUGAAGUGAGCGAUGGGAUAACCAUGCCCAUCAUUCUUUUUAAACUUUGGUGUCUUAAGCCAUGAAAGUAGAUGCACAUGAGGGAACAUGCACAAAUGUGUAUAGGAAACACUUUUUUACCCACUUAAGACUUGCAUAUUCUUUAAACUCUGCUCAAGACUCCUCAUUUUCUUUGCCAUCUCAUCUUGCUCGGGAGCUUAGAGAGUUUGAUCUUGCCCUGGUAUAAUCUCAUAUUGUGUUUGUUGAGGGUAAGCAUAUGUGGGGUAUUGCACGAGUUCUGGUUGGUAUGUAGGAGUUUGAUAAGUUAAGGACGAUAAAUCAAACACAGGUCUUGGGACUGUGGGCUGUGUUGUUGUAGAGGAUGUGGAGCAAUUAUGCUGUUAGGAGCUGUCCCACGUAUGAAUGCCUGGGGCGAACCUCAGAAUUUGCUCCCACAAAAUGAGCGAAUAUGGUAGGUUGUCCAAGCGGGACGUUUGGGUGACUGAUGAGAAAGUUAGAGGUACCAAUUGGUCUUGGGAACAACUCAGGAAAUCCCGGGAUGACACUCGGGGUUUUUUUUCCGUUUGUCCAUGCAUCCCACAAAUCCAUUACCCUCAGACACGAGAUUAUAUUCUCUUCAGCUAAUGUGGACUCUGAGGCCGGGACGCCCGAGAGCGGGCUGUCUUCUAACAUAGGGAUUGUUGACUGGGUCAUUUCUGACGAUAUCUCUGUACUACCUUUAGAUCUGGUAAAGUAGUGGUGUGAAGCCAGUUCACCACAAACCAACCACCUGUUUCUAUAAACCUGGACUGGAAUGAGAGCGGCAAAUGGUUAGUAUGAAACAAAUAACAGAUAAGUAAUUGCACGUUGGGUGUGAUGAACCUAAUUUUCUUUCCUUUCUUUCUUUUUGCCAUGAUUUUUCUUUGAUUUUCUCAUUUUCUUUCGGCUCUUGCGCUUCUUUUGUUUUUAUUUUCUUUUAUCUCUUUUUGCUUUUUUCUUAAGGUUAUGGUCAAAUCUUAUGAGGAUUUCCUACGUAUCAUGACUCCGCGCAAUCAGACCAAGCGUAGUUUGUGAAAACAAGUGCAAAAAUAUAAAAAAAUUGUUUUUCAGGAAUUUUCAAUUUUCAUUACUAACACAUUCUAUUACAGAAACAUUUUUGAAAAGGAAAAUAAUAGACUUGAAAUAAAUCCAAAUACAGACUCAAAAACUACUGAUGCAAAAAGAAUACAAGCAGACAGACAACAGACUCUAAAAUAAAAAAUACAGACUCGAACUAUGAAUACAUUAAUGCCUCAAAAAUUGGUGCCUGCGGGGCAUCUUUCGGCCUUGCCGCGGGCUUAGGUGCGAGAUCCCUUUCAAGUUGCUCCAAUUCAUGCAUUGUUCGCUUGACAAAAAUCAUUAUUUCUAAAAAGAAGGUAGUGCGGGUCAUGUCUUCACAUAGUCGACAUCCCCUAAUGAUGGCGUGGGCACUAGUCUGAAGAUCCUGUCUUUCCAGUGUUGUAUUUCUACUUUCUUUCGGGCCAGUAAAUCAUAGCAUUGUCCACUUUGAGUUUCAAAAGCUUGGAAUUUUUUAGCUACUCUUUCCUCAAGGGUGGUCACUUUUCUUUUCAAUUGGCAAUGGUUUUCUCGUAAUCUUUCCUUAACUACUGUAAAUACUAUGUGUGCUCUUAUGUUCUUUUUGCCACUGUGGCCGGGGUCCUACUAUGGUACCCUGGGAUUUCUUCAGCUUGUCCCGACACUCAAGGAUUUCCAUUUUCAACCCCUUUAUCAACUGUUCAUCCGACCGACUCCUUUGUUGGUUAUCAACGUCUAUCCUUAUUUGUUGGAUUUGGGCCUUCAGCGCCUCAUUUUCUUGGGCCAGUUGGUUCUUUUCUCCCUGAUCAGUAGCAACUUGCACACUAUUUUCAAUUUUCAGGUCCCUAAUUUGUUGUUUCAGCUUGCCUAUUUCUGUCAGGUAGCUUUCUGCCUUUACUAACCAACCCCAUUGCUCUUGUGAGUCAUUAGUAAACUGCUGGACAUGAGCUCAUUUGGCGGGCCUAUGUGGUACCAAAAUCCUUUUCCUGAACCAAGCAUUUUACUUUGGGUCCACCUCACCCUUAGCAAGAUCUCGAACACUAGGCUCAAGGAAUAUGCAUUCAUUCCAUAGCUUUCGAAGUUUAUUAUCCGAAAAUGCGGCACCCGAGCUCAACUCAAUGACUUUCCUGCUUAGAUAUUCAUCUGUAGGGACUACUUGAAACCUUCCCAAUUUCCACAGCACCCGAUGGGGAGAAAAUGGUUGGAUACUAUGGAUAUCCCAUCAAAAGAACAUGACAUUCUCUGGCCGACAUGUAUACCGCCUCAAUAGCGGGAAGCCACCAAAUGCCCAUUCAAUUUGAUUGGCAGUCAAUGACCUCAGUCGUACAAGGCAUGCUUUAGUACCUUUGGGGAAUGCAACACCCAUUACCUGCUUCACAAAUCCGUUGAUGCAGCUCAAUUCGGUUAACUCGUGGUUCAUGUAUCCUACCCAGUGGCAAAGAUGUACUUGCAUCCAUAACAGGAGUAAUACAUUGCAACCCCGGAAGAAGUCUCCUCCCUCCCGGCAUAUGGAUAAGGAUCGGUAGAUUUCGGACAAGACCAAGGGAACCACAGUACUAUCAGCCUUUUUAAUUCCAACAUCGGCCAUCCAUACAAGGCCUAUCUUCAUUUUCUUAUCUUUGCAUGGACAGACUACGACUCCCAGGAAUGCUGUUAUCAUUGCCAAAGUUCGCCUUGCCUCCCACUUGUUUCUAUUUCCAACAUGAGCUAGUCUGACGUUCAGCUCUUCGAAACCCUGAGGAGUACCAUAUCAUUCAUAUAAGAACUGAAGAGUGAAACAUCCUCUUGACAAAUCAUCAUUUUGAACAUUCCGACUAAUAUUUAGCAAAUCCAAAAAUCCGUUUGGAGAUACCGAUCUGGGUGACAACAAAUAUUGACCCCUUCGGUUUCAAUUAAAACCCGCAUGACUAGCAACUUCCUCCAGUGUAGGUGUAAGGUCAAAGUCAGCAAAGCGAAAUAGAUUGCGGGUUGGGUCCCACCACGGUAUUAAGGCCACGAUGAUAUCUGACCUUGGCUUGAUAUUCAGUAAACCGACGAGACCUCCCAAGAUUCUCACCACUAUUUCUUUGUUACCUUAUUACAAAUCAUUUCACCACAUGUGGAGCUAUAGUGGGACCUCGGUAAAGACAGUGAACGGUUCAAUUUGGUUUGUGCUCAUCCUACACAUUCAUUAAGGUGAUUAAGAAAAAUUCAAAAUUUAUUUGACUCAAAACAAAUUGACUAUUUUCUUGUUUUUCCCCAAUUAAAAUGAAAGACCCAAUUUUCUAGAACACGACCUUUCAGCACUUCAGGGACUAAGAUUUUAAGGUUGUGUGGGUCAACCGGCCAAAAUCUAGAAAAAAUUCACAAAGGUGGUUGUUUAUACAAAGUCAGACUCUGGCGUCCCUUUUGGAAACAUUCAGCUAUUUUUUUUAUUAAAACAGUGAUGACGUUCAAAUCCACCGCUAAAAAUCAAUUGACACGGUCGCAUAUAAUUUAAUUUACCCAACUAUGAGUCGGGGUCGAAUCCCACAGAGAACAAUGUGUAGGCGAUUAGGAAUGUAUGAAAAUUAUCGCUAGUUGCGCAGUGCCAAACACUAAGAGUUUGGGUUGAAAAUUAUUUUUAUAUGUAAAAUGCGGAAAUGUUAACUAACCUAUAAAGCAAGUAAAAUGAUCAAUGGCUACAAGUAUGAAAGCAUCGGGAAUUACACUCAAGUGACGAUUCAAUGUAUUUAAUGAUUUUAUAAAUAUGAGUGAGUUUAUGCUAAUUAGCCACGGAUAAUAAUUCUUUAUUAGCUUCUUCCGAAGACUAACAAGACUUGUUAUGAUUUACAAAUAUGAGCGAGUUUAUGUUAAUUAGCCAUGGAUAAUAAUUCUUAAUAAGCUUCUUCCGCAUUGUAACAAGACUUCCCAAUUGAAUUAUCUCUAAUCACAAUUAGAAUAUUAAGCACACUCGAUGUCCACAAGUAGUUCAAUCCUAUACCUAGGUAGAAUCUAUAAAAUGAGGGUAAACGCCUCACGUUUUAAUUAAUCUUUCCCAACCCCAAACUAUUUUUCCCGAAAUUGAGUCGGAGUUAAUGGGAGAGUCCUAGGGUUAGCUAAUCCCUUUGGAAACAUUAAAGAACAAGAAUAAUUAAAGAAACAAUAACUUACUUCAUAAAUAUAUAAAAAUCAUUCAAUAUAUAAGCACAACAAGGUAUAAAAUCUACACUUUAAUUAUGAAUAUUUCCAUAAACAAUAUUUAAGUGUCGGAUAAAAUACUACGCGCUUAGAUAAACAAUACAAAUCAUGGAAAUGAAGAAAUAAACAUAAAUGGAUAAGAAAAUCUCAAUCACAAGCUUUAAUCUUCAAGACCAAAGUGUGUUUGUGCAAACCUUAGCUCAAGAACUUGUUCUCUCUAGUCUCAAUGGACUGAAAAUAAGCCAAAGAUAUUCUACAAAUGAACCUUAUCGGGUAUUAAAUGAUUCGGGAAUCAAAAGAGUGAAGUUCAAGAAUUGCCCAUGCCUGAAGCACGUGCUUCGCAAUUGCGAACAAAUAUUCGCAUUUGCGAAGCUUGCCUAUACUGCCUGGUUUUGCAUUUCCCAACAUUUCUUCACAUUUGUAAUGACUCCAAUUUCCUGUAGAGUUCGCAUUCGCGAACAUUACAUCGCAUUUGCGAAGACUUCUUAAUUCAUGCUAAGUUCGCAAAUGCGCCCUUUUCUUAGCAUUUGCGAAGGCUGCCCAAUUCCAGCUAAGUUCGCAAAUGCGACAUUUUCUUCGCAUUUGCGAACACUGCCCUUUUCUUCUUGGCAUUGCAUUUCUCAGGAUUUUGUCACAUUUGCGACCUCUGAGGCCACUGCCCAGAUUUUCUCUUUGUUUUUUCUUCUUUUUACUUGUUUCCACUUGGUUUCUUCACCAUUGCUUCUAAAUCAAAUUCAACCUGUAAAAUAGAAGUAAAUGACAUUAAACACAUGAUUUUAUCACUGAAAAUAUAGCAAAAGUACAUGUUUAAAGGCAAGAUAAGUGGGUAAAAUACCAACUUAUCACACCCCCAAACUUGAACUAUUGCUUGUCCUCAAACAACGAAGACGAUAAAAUCUCUUCCCAAGUGACUACAUCAAACUCAUAUCUUUAUCACACCAAGGCAAAAAGGGCUACUACAAGCACAAAAGCAUGACUUCGCUUGGUACCAACAAUUACUCCAAAACAUAUGAAUUAUCGAGCAUUUCACAUAAAUUUCAUUAUACUUCAAAUACUAAAACACUAAUGCGAAUCAAAGUAGCAAUCAAGUCAUGACUCUAAAGCGUAAAAAUUUUCCUCUAUAUCACAAUCAACUUUCUUUGGUCAUCCUUAUCAAUUGAAAAUGGGAUUAAAUACACAACUAAUUUCUCAUGUGCCCUUACAUUCAAGAGAGGAUCCCACACUCAUGAAUCUCAAUUUAAAUAAAAAAUGGGAUAUCAAAUGGAAAGAAUUAACUCACUCUCAAAAAGAUGUUCUAGUGCAUACAAGUAGUACCAUAGGCUUUUCUUCAUGUCUUUCACCACUAAUGUAGACAACUUAGUUCAAAAUUAAUAAGGAGUUAAAGGGUUGUAGCUUAGGCAUUUGGUUAAGGUAAAGCACAAUUUUGGUUAAACUGACUCAAACUUUUCCCAAGCAAUACAAAGUUUACAAUUAAAGUCCACUUUCUUCGUAAAUAUUUUUCCGCCCUUUCUUCAUUUUUUUAAUACCACACCUAGUCUUCCCUUUAUUCACAACUUUUUUAUAACCACACAUUACAUACAUUUUAUUCAUAAACCUUUCACCUUUUCAAACAAUUUUCAUAUCACAACUUUCCCAACUUGCACCCCAAACUUAGGCUUUUAGCCUACAUAAAGACAUUCAACUUAGUGACGGGGUGCCAAAAGAUGUAUCAUUUGAGAACAAAGGAUUCAAGCAUGUAAUAUGAUUACAAAAUAAUAAGGUUAAAGUCUCAAAAUUGGUUGACUGGGGAAAAUAUUUAAGGGUAGGAAUAUUUAGUAUACUAGCGGUCCAAGAAAGGCCUAAUAUAAAUUUUUAAAAUAAUGUUAGUCUAUAAUUUUUACUCAAAACACAUUCUGGGCAAGUUCUAGACCACAAGCACUACAAAAUAACUAACAAAUCCAUCUCACCACACAUGGCACAUGAAAACUCAAAUGGAGUACAAAUCCACAUUCAUAUUAACACAAACAACUCAAGGAGGUUAUAUAGCAUAAAAGAAGCUAUUUAGUGAAUUAAAGAGCCAAAAUUGAAUCUUAAAGGUCAUGACAUUAUUACUUCAAUUUUUUUUACAUCCAAAAAUUCAUAUGCCAAGGUUUAACUAUGUUGGUACUAAGCAAAGCACACUCGUCAAUGGGCACAAAUCCCAACUCAAACUAUUUAUUUUCCUAUAUUAUCAAAAACUAAAUCUAACUACAAGACUAAUUCCCUUAAGAAAGUUAUUAGUCCAUCCAUCAUCUGGAAAAGUCGACAAAAAUAUUUCUACAAUUACCCGGUUCAAGAAGAAAAAUUGGCAUCCUUGGAAAAAGAACCGUGGUAUAAAUAAAACCAAGAAUAUCGCCACUAACACAAAGCAUACUAAAAUAAAUAAAAAUUAAGAAGCUAAAAGAAAAAACAUCAAGUACUAAAUAUACUAAUAUCAACAUACUAAAAUAUACUAAUAUCAAGAUACUAAUAUAAAUAAAACAUCUAGUACUAAACACACUAAUAUCAGCAUACUAAAACAUACUAAUAUCAACAUACUAAUGUAAAACAUGAUAUCAAAAUAAACUAAUAACAAAAUGAAAACAGUCAAAAUACUAAUCCGCCAAAUAUCCACAAAAUAUAACAGUUAUACGAGUACCACCCCCAACAAAAUAUAUUGCUUUGUCCCCCAAUGCAACUAAACAUGAUAUAGUAAAAGUGGUGGAAAGCGCCCUGAAUACUACAUCAGGUUCUCUUCUCGCUCUCGGACUCAGACUCAUCCUCGUCCUCUCCUUCUUCCUCUGGCCAUUCUACAGGAAUUUUAUCAGGAUCCACAUCUCUCCUAGAUGGUAUCCGCUCCUGAGGCUUACGGACCUUCCAUAUGCCCUUCACACCCUUCCACAUUCUAGUGAAGAAUUUAUCUCUUUUCUUCUCCAUUUUCACUAUCCGGGUGUGUGAAUUUUCCAAGUUAUCAUGAGAAGUGCUCAACUCACCAUGCUUCUUGGCCAGCUCAGUGUAUGCUUUUUCCAGUGCCAUAAGGUGAUCCCCCUGCUUCCUUUGAUCGUGAAUAUAUUUCUGGAAAUCUUUCUUGGAAAUGUUAGCAGCUGCCUCAAAUGUCUCCCCAGGUCCCUGGGGAAGGCCAGACACUAGCUCGCGAAUCACUCGCAUCUCCUCAUUGAUCACAACAAAUGGCCCUCCUACUGAUUAUGAAGGAAGACUACCCUGAGAAGAUGAAAAUCUUCCUCUUUUUCGGCUUCACUACUCCUCCUUCUCCUCUUUUCAUGAGCGGAUGUAUAGGCUUCCCCGGUUCUAUCCAAUUGUCCCCUGAAGCUUCUUACACCCCAGCAAGCUGGCAUAACUCAGUGAUAAGAGAAUGGAACAUCAAUGAGGGACUCAUUUGAAUUUGAUACUCUCUCAGUUCACUGAUAAUGAUCUCGCCCACAUUUAGCUGAAUGCCAUCAACGACACAGGCUAUAAUUUGAGCUCGAGUAAUUGGGAUGUUCCAUAUGUUAUAAAUAGGGGAGACACGACUGCAUAUUAUAGCCAGCCAUAUCAUUGCUUCCGAAGUGAAAUAUUUGGAUGUGACCCCCUCUUUUCAGGUGCCCACGAAACAUCUAGACCCGGACACAGCUUAGAAGCCAACCACUCUCAAGAAGCACAGUCCUUUCCCUAAAUGGAGUCAUGUCAUUGUCUUGCAGAUGGUAGGGCUAAAAGCAUAUCAUUUUAGCAUGAAUUAUCAUCUUGGGAUUUUUAGACCUUAUAGCUUUGAGGUUAUUGUAAAAUACCCUCACCCAUUGCUCAUUUGCUCGGCAAGGUUGAGGGGCAAAACAAUCCUAUCCAAUGUUCGUUAGUCUUGUAUAGAACUCGGGGAGACGUUAUUUGACAUUAUCCAUCACUAUUACACUCUCCGGGAGCACCUUCUUUGAGAUCAGUUCAUCAUAGUAUCGUUCCUGUCAUUUAUUGCCAGGAACCGAUUGUCAUCAAAAGCCUGCUCUUCUUCUGUAGGAUUUUCACUUGAGGAUCCUUCAGAGUUCGGAUGCACUGUUCAAUUAUAAUAUCUUUCAAAAAAGUGAUAAUAUUGAAAACAUGAUAUGGCUAUGAAGAAUAAUGCAAAAUGAAGUGAAUAUGCCAAAAUAAUUAUCGGACAAUCAAAACUUAGCCUUAGAAAAAUUCAAAAAAUUUCGGCUUUUGAAGUGUUGGGCUGCAGAUAUCGCUAUUCCUAGGAAUUUUUCGCAUUUCUAUAGAAAUAAGAGACUCUAGGUUUUGGGAGUUGCAAAUAAAACUUUGCAAAUGCGAAGUCUUCAGAAAAGCCAGACAUCGCAAAUGCGAAGAUAACUUUGCAAAUGCGAAGUCAACCAGGAAAGGUCAACUUCGCAAAUGCGAAGAAAAUCUUGCAAAUGCAAGCCUUCAUCCCCGGGCAGUGUUCUUUCAGAGAACAGGGUUUACGCCCAAUAAUUUUCAAUCCAAGCCUAUUUUAAGCAAAACCAAUCAUUAAUCAAGACUACAUCAUGCAUUAAACUUCAUAAACGACCAUGAAUCAACAAAUUUCAAUGGUUGUGGCAACAAAUUAUUUCAGGCCUCACAUCGAACAAAUUAAGAGUGCAAAAUAUUUGCUUCUAUUUGACAAGUAAUUGGGUACUCAGACUUCUCUACAUUUUGCCAUGAACAAAUUCACUCAUUUCUCAACAAAACCUUACCCAGAAAACACAUAGAAUUUGAAAAGAAUUUCUAACAAUUUGGGGCAAAGGGUGGCAACCAUUUGAACCCUAGGGUUCAUAAUACAAAGCAAAAUAAAUAAGAAAGAGACGAUGAAGAAGUAGAAAGUGUACAGAUUAAGCUUUCAUACCUGAUACUCUUCAAUGAGAGGUGAAGACGUGAUGCCUUUAUAGUGUUGAGAGGGAAGGGGAGCCAAGAGUUUUAGAGAAUUAGAGUGUUUUGUUAUACAUUAGUUCAGAAUGGGGCAGUGUCAGGCUUUACCCCCUGCAGAAUUCGCAAUUGCAACUUUUUCUUCACAUUUGUGAAGUCCGGGGUUUACCUUUAGGUUCGCAAAUGUGAACUAUUGUUUGCAAAUGCGAACUAUGCACUGCAUUUUCCAAACAGCUACAGGUUUUUUUUCUUAUGGGCCAUCCCGGCCUGAUCAAAUCAAGUACAAAAAUUCUCAAAAUUUGUAGAUUAGCUACAAAUAAUAUUCUAAGCUAUUCUAAUAAAAGAAAUUUUCAAAAAUGAUAAAAAAUAUUGAAAAAUGAUGGGUUGCCUCCCACCAAGCGCCGCAUUUAACGUCGUGGCACGACGCAAACAACUUUAUCACUUUUCUCGCCACUUGGAUGAUAUCAAAUAGGCACCUAGCUUGGAAUCAAGCAUGUGACCAUGAGCGAUAGGGGAUGGUAAGUUGAUGAUCGAGCAAAUGCUUAAAAUCUCCGUUUUGAACUUUUUGGCUCUCGAGUGAGGAAUGUCAUUUUGUUUUCUUGACUCCUCAAGCUGUAGAGUUUUUAUUCCUCGCAAUCCUUCAUUCAUCCGUAUAGUUCGACUUCCAUGUCACCACACAAUUCCAACGAUGAAAAAAAAUUGGAAUGUGACUUCAAGCCUUCACUUUGAAAAUUUUUUAUCUUGACAUCCUCCUUUUCCCCUAGAUUAGACUCAACAUCAACCACAUUUUUAUUUACACCGGUUGACUCCAAUUCCAUUUUUUUCUCGGCAUCAAUAAUACUCAUUGGGUCAGUUGGCGGAUUUAAUUCUUGAUUCAUUUAAAGUAAAGCUCACUUUCUUCCUCAGAAUUUGACUCUUCUUGGCUUUCUUCCACACACUCGAGUUGUUGGGCAUAGUGAGCCUCAACCAAAGUUUGCGUUUGAUCUUCCAAUGCGCAGAUAUGUUCAUCAUUGUAAUUCAAGCCUUGUUUCAAGUCAUCAAGUGAAAAGUUUUUCUUCUCCUCAUUUUCAAGAAUGGUCUCCACAUGAGCAUUAUUUUCUCAUUUUGAGCAUUUGGGAGUUCUUCUUGGUUUUGAUCAAAUGCCAACAAAGUGUUUUCGCUCUCAAUAUCCAAGGAAGAGUAUUGGUUUCAUUCACUUCCAACGCUCUUUGAACACUUGAGGCUUGGAUCAUUUCAUCCAUUUGUGAGUGCAAUCGUGGAAGGUCUAAAUUAGUUUGGAGACUUGUCCCCAAAAGAUAUCCCAAGGCAUUUUGCUCCUUGUUUCCUUCUUCAAGUAGACAUUCCAAAAUGAGCUUGAACUCUCCAUUUUGGUCAUGCUCAUUUUUUUCUAUUUCCAUAUCCCUAUAGUUCUCAUCACAAAAAGCAAACUCAUCAUAAUAGGGGCUUGGGGAAGGGAAGUUCAAAUAUGCACAGUAAUCCCAAUGACCAUUUUGGUAACCACACUUAUCACAAAUACUCCAACCAUGGGGAUGAGAUUGUGCGCAUAAUCCACCCCCUGGAGAAUUUAAACAAUAUAGACAUUACUGUGGUCCUCCGCAAUAAGGACACCGGUCAUCAAAGUAUGAACAACUACCAUCCGACCAAUUUUAAUUAUAUGAUGCCAUUUUCAAGAAUAAGAAAAUAAACAAGAAACAACAAAUAAAAAUAGACCCAAGGCAAGAAAAAUAACUACACAAAUAAUCACAAGUUUGGACUAAAGCACGUUUACUUCUCAAACAACCUAAUUACGCCAAAUUGUUCCCCGGCAACGGUGCAAAUUUUUGAGACAUCAAAAUCCACUACUAAAAAGCAAUAGACACGGUCGUAUGCAAUAUAAUUUACCCAACUAUGAGUCAGGGUCGAAUCCCACAAAGAACAAUGUAUAGGCGAUUAGGAAUGAAAGAAAAUUAUCGCUAGUCAUGCAGUGCCAAACACUAAGAAUUUGGGUUGAAAAUUAUUUUUAUAUAUAAAAUGCGGAAAUGUAAACUAACCUAGAAAGCAAGUAAAAUGAUCAAUGCCUACAAGUAUGAAAGAAUCGGGAAUUACACUCAGGUAAUGAUCCGAUGUAUUUUAUGAUUUCACAAAUAUGAGCGAGUUUAUGUUAAUUAGCCACGGAUAAUAAUUCUUAAUUAGCUUCUUACGAAGAAUAACAAUUCUUCCUAAUUGAAUUAUCCCUAAUCACAAUUAGAAGAUUAAGCACACCUAGAAGGCUACAAUUAGUUCAAUCCUAUCCCUAGGUAGAAUCUAUAAAAUGAGGGUUAACGCCUCAAGUUCUUGUUAUAUCUUUUCCAACCCCAAACUAUUUUUUCAAAAAUUAAUUCACAGUUAAUGGAUGAGUCCUAGGGUUAGCUAAUCCCUUUUGAAACAUUAAAGAACAAGAAUAAUUAAAGAAACAAUAACUCAUUUCAUAAAUAGAUAAAAAUCAUUUAAUACAUAAGCACAACAAGGUAAAACAUCCACAAUUUAAUUAUGAAUAUUCCCAAAAAGAAAAUUUAAGUGUUGGAUAAAAUAUUACACACAUAGAUAAACAGUACAAAUCGAGUAAAUGAAGAAAUAAACAUAUAUGGGUAAGAAAAUCUUAACCACAAGCUUCAAUCUUCAAGACCCAAGUGUGUUUGUGAAAACCCUAGCUCAAGAACUUGUUCUCUCUAGUCUUCAUGGAUGGAAAAUAAGCCAAAGAUACUUUACAAAUGAACCUCAUCGGGUAUUAAAUUAUUUGGGGAUCAAAAUUGUUAUGUUCCGGAAUUGCCCAUGCCUGAAGCACGUGCUUCGCAAUUGCGAACAAAUAUUCGCAUUUGCGAAGCUUGCCUAUACUGCCUGGUUUCGCAUUUCCUAACAUUUCUUCACAUUUGUGAAGACUCCAAUUUCCUGCCGAGUUCGCAUUUGCGAACAUUACAUCGUAUUUGCGAAGACUGCUAAUUCAUGCUAAGUUCGCAAAUGCGCCCUUUUCUUCGCAUUUGCGAAGGCUGCCCAAUUCCUGCUAAGUUCGCAAAUUUGAAAUUUUCUUCGCAUUUGCGAACACUGUCCUUUUCUUCUUGGAUUUUCAUUUCUCAGAUUUGGUUGCAUUUGCGACCUUUGAGGCCACUGCCCAGAUUUUCUCCUUGUUUUUGCUUCUUUUUACUUGUUUCCACUUGGUUUCUUCACCAAUUCUUCUAAAUCACAUUCAACCUGUAAAAUAGAACUAAAUGACAUUAAACAAAUGAUUUUAUCACUGAAAAUAUAGCAAACGUAUAGGUUUAACGGCAAGAUAAGUGGGUAAAAUACCAACUUAUCAACCAACUUAUUAUGACGAAAAUUAAAAUUUUGACAUUUUUGGUUAUUUUUGCAAAAGGGGAGGUUGUGAGUGUUGCCUACGUAUCUCAUGCUCUGUGAAAAUUAAACCGGCAUAGUUCGGGCAAAUAAAGUAAUUUUGAAAACAAGACCCUUUUUUCUUUUGCUUUUUGAGUGAAUCAAACUAAAAGAAAUAUUUUUCUUUUUUCUUCAUUUUCUCAAAAUUUGGCCACAAUUUCGAUGCUAUUUGGGUAUUGGUUUUCCUAAAAGCAUGUAAUUAACACACUACACUAGUAAUUCUCUCUUUUACUUUUUUCUUAUUUUUUUAUAUUUUCGAUAUUCGGAAGUCGGUCAGCAUGCAUGCCCGAAACAAAUAAAUGCACAGAAAACAAGUAGGAUGCAUCAGGAUGGUCCAUUUAAUUUCAGGUUGCUAGUCCUAGACAUACCCAACCCCUGUGUUGAAUCCCCUAAGUCAAAUGCACAUGACGCAAAUAAGCGUUUCUACUAGUGAUCCGGCAUGAGGCUGUGUUAUUCUAGGUCCAAAACUUGGUUGUUUGUUCUAAACCUGGCUUACCCGAGCGGAUAUCUCGAACCGAGGGGGAGGCAACGUACCUGGAAUAUAGAAGCUUCACCGGCUUUGCAACUUAUCCGAACCUCGUUCUAAAAUUGGAAUUAGAAUCUAUAGGGAAAAGAAGGAACACGAAGUGCACCCUUCUUCAUGAUUUAGAAGACUCAAAGGGGAGAUGGAUUUUUGCACCGGUAAUAUAUAGUUCACCGGUUAUCAAAGCGUUAAAUAUUUAGCAUAUAUAGCAUGGAACAUAUAGUAAAAUCAAAUAAAUCCGAAUACAUCAAUUAUACCAAGCUCGAAUUCUAAAACCCUGAACCGAAGUUCUGGGUUCUAUACCCCAGCAGAGUCGGCAGAGCUGUCACACUUCCUUUUGAACACCUACCCCAAAGGAUAAUGUAUAAGGGAUUUUUUCUAUUUAAAGUGACAUUAUACGAAUCGGGAUUAUUUAUUCAGUAAGAGUCGCCACAUGGGAAAGGUUUGGCUUUUGGUGUCCCAAGUCACCAGUUUAUCUUGAAUCCCGAAACGAGGAAACUUUUUGACUCAUCAAUUGGAGUCUGUGAACCAAAAAUUCUAAGUAAGGAAUUUGUUGACCCGAGGGAAGGUGUAAGGCACCCCCGGAUUCCUUGGUUCUAGCACGGUCACUUAAACUAUUAUAAUUGGCCUAUUAUCUUAUUUUAAUGCAUGUUCAAAUUAUAGUGUAAUAUUAAAUUAUUUACCACUUUUAGUUAAACUUUUUAAGAAAGUGAACAUCGGUUAAAAAUGUGUUUUUGGAUCACGUCACAUGAAAUGCACCAGGAUCCUCGACACAUUCUUAUUUGACAUUUUUGGAUUUGAUUUGGGUCAUAUAAAAUGCACACCCGAGUGUAAGAAUGUAAUUUCUUUAGAAUCGCGCCUAAAGAGACUAACACAUUAUUAUUUUGGGAAGGCCGUGAAAUUUGCUAAACGGCCCAUCCAGCUUCCUAAGUAUUUUAAUAUAACCAUUUAUCGAGGGCCGUGUAAUUUUUCCUAUUUUUUUAGGCGAGGUUCAUCUCUUUUUUGUAAUUUUUAAAAGGCUAAUCCUACAAUAAGCUAUGAUUUUAUAUAUAUUUCGUCUCUAAUAAUAAAUGAAAGAAAUCCUUAUUAAAAAACGAUUAUAUUUGAGGUCCAUGGAUUCAUACUAUUUAAAUUGUCAACCAUCUUGGGCCUGAAACGUAGCUCGUUUAAAUGGAUCAAAAUUUAGGCGAGCAAACCAGUCCGAGGACUGGGCCCAGGUUUACACGGACGUUUAGACAUGGGCUUCCUGAAAUGCAUUGGAGCCCAGUCCGUCCGAGAUAGGCUGUUAAGCCUUGAUCGCCAAUUCAAAAUGAAUUUCGAUUAUUCACGGAACAUCUUCAUGUUACUCGUAUUCAACAAUUUAUAACAAAGGAAAACAUGAUUCACCUAUUCGAAUUGAUGAAACACUAAACCAUUCUGAUUUCAGUUUAAAACUAAGAUUAUUUUCUAUUUAUCUUUUGAUGGGCUAUUGGAUACCAUUUAGGUAAAAAUAGAUUGAGAAUGUUAAAUCAAUGCUCAAAUGAUUCAAGGGUUCACACAAGUUUAAUUGUUAGUACAUAGUGAGAAUUCAAGGACUCGAAGUGGUUUCUUAUCUCAGUUGUCUUUCUAACCUCAUUAACCAAACUAACAGGAACAAAAUUAAACUAGCUAAAACCGAAGGAUAAUUUGCAGAAUUACUAAACUUCGAGGAUUGCGAACUAAGUUAGCUAACAACUAGUUCCAGUCCACAUUCAACACUCUAACCAAUAACCAAAUACAAAAUCCUUAAGCUGAUUAACAAUCAGUUACAAAAUAAUAAUCGAAAUAGUCCAAAAUAACCUAAGGCAAACCCGAAUAAUAGCCCAUAUUAUUACAACCCAGUCUAUUGCUCAAAUCAAUACCAGCUUAGUAAACUAACAACAAUUAAUAAGUUAUAUUGUUUAACGAUAAACAUCAGACGACAUCUAAAGUGCAGAGAUCUGAUAGCAAUUUUCAUUUCAACUUCAAUUUUGAGUUACAUUGAAACAAAUCGAGGAAGUGCACCUGGAAUUCGAAUAACAGAACAAAGAAUAAGGAGGUCAGCAGCAACUCAAACACAACAUACCAAUAGACAAUCAACCAGACACAAAUGCACAGCCCAAGAAAUAGAAUCACAGCCCAGAAAAAAGUUUGAAAUCAGACGAAAAUGAGAUAUCAACCACAAAUCACUCGAAUGCACCCAAAUGACUCGAAAUUGAACUUGAAUUAACCAAGAAUUGGACUAAUAGAUAUUAGGAGAACUCCAACACAUUGGAAUCAAGCUAUAUGACCAAAAGCAAUUAUUCAAACUCUAAAUUGAACCAAAAGUUAAAUGGAAGAGUAUUUUUUGCUAAUUUUUCACUGCAUUUUUGUGCUUUUUUUUUGGAUAUUUGAGAGUUUUCUUAUGGUGUAUUGGUUUUGAAUUUUGAAUUUCUACGUCUCAGAUCUGAAAUGGGAGAAGAGUUUUUUUUUAGGUGAAAAACUUGUUAUUCAAGGCAUUUGUGAUGCCUUUUAUAGGCAAAAUGAAGUGCAACUCAUAUAUUAUGAGAAAGACAUCCAAGAUUUAUUUCGAAAUGAAAGAUUGAGCAGCUGCUGAAGAUGGAGCUGCAGAGCGUCGUUCGGGUAAGAGAGAGAAUGAUUGAUAAGGGCAUUCUGUGAAUGGAGGAAUUGCCACAAAUCUUAUCUGAAGUAAUGUGUUGCCGCGAAUCGGCUAAAAGAGUUUCAAUAGGCUUUAAUAGGCAAAUAUGAAGUGCAACACAUAUUUUUAUUUUCUUUCAUUUCAAUCCCUCAUUUAUUUUAAGUUUUUAUUUUUUCACCCUUUGAUUACAGACUUGUGCUUCAAGUAAUUACCCUUAUUUUUCUGAAAUUCUAAUUUUACCCCUAUCUAGAAGUUUCUAGGAACUUCAGAUUGAAUCUAUUGCAUUUUGGUAUCUUACCAGUUACCUGAAAUGCCCUUGAACUCAUUUGAAAUCACUAAAUUAGACUAACCUAACCCAACUUCUAACUAUGAUUAUCUAACAACUAACCCUAUUUAACUAACAAUCUUCAGCAAUCAAGACAACGACAAAGUAAUCAGUUAAUGAAGCAAUGUGAAUUAGAACCCAUAUGAAAGAAUGAUUUGAACACAAUUGGACUAAUAUCCAAACCUAUCGAACAGAAUUGAUCAAUAAUCAAAAUAAGUUUUAACUGUGACAAAUUAUAUUAUAAUUAAGUCUUGCUUAUAAUACAACUAAACUAAAAGAAAAUCUAGACGAAUUACAGUCUAGGUAAACAAUAAUCAGACACAAAAUUAGGAUCAAAAUCAACAAAGACUCAAAACACGUCUUAAACUAGAAUUUAACGAAUAUGAUCACAGAAGCAAAAUAAAAGAAUAAUACAAAGGAAAAAAGAAAACAAAAACUCUCUGUCAUGGCUCAAAGUCUGGCUGACUUUCACACUUCACAUUCGGCCGUCUCUGGUGGGAAUUGAGUGCUAAUGACAUUGAAUUCUUAAUGAGGAGGGCCCAAUGAAGAUAUGGUAUCAUUUUGGGGUGACUUAAUGUGAGUAAGGUUUUUCCGAAAAAACAUACAUUGAUAUUCGAACAGUUCCGGCGGGAUUUGAGGAACGGGGUUAAGAGGGUUCGAUAGAGGACACGGAGGUGAUCUUGUGGUGUAAAUUUGGUGGUAUUUUGGUAAGGUGACAUUUUGGCCGGAGUUUCUUUGAGCUAAGACUCAAAGGUUUUGGAUGUGAUUCGAGGAAAAAGGGGUAUGGAUUCGGAGAGAGGAAGGAACAGGGAAUCUAGGGUGUAUUUUUGGUGGCAUUUGGAGGUGGGCCGUCGCUAUGGGCGAUUUCCGUCUGCGGCGGGUGGUGGUGUUACAUAGAGCUAUAAACGGGGUAUUUAGGAUGAUGAAACGGGGGUGGGGGUAUGAUUCAGACACAUAUAUACGAAUUAACCUAGGAUAUGUCUCGUCCGUCAGAUCAAAAAUUAAGGGCCGUGAUUGAAUAUUGAAACAACGUCGUGUAGGGAUUGGGACUUACUGGGUAACAGACUGGUUUGGGCUGCUACUGAGUUCAGCUGUGAGUGGGUUUGGGGUAAGAACUAACUUGGGCCAUACUAAAUGAAUUUAAAUUGGCCAAAUUUGGGCCUCCCUCUUUUAUGUGUCUUCUUUGUUUUUUUUUUUCUUUUUUUUCAUUUUGGUUUUCUUCUUUACUUGCUAUAAUUUAUUUUUUGUAUUUCUUUUUUAUGUUUU
Molecule: long non-coding RNA, 17553 nt
Filed under: Nicotiana benthamiana
Lineage: Eukaryota; Viridiplantae; Streptophyta; Magnoliopsida; Solanales; Solanaceae
Description: long non-coding RNA (NBEN_LNC034614)
Source: RNAcentral